UUGCCCUACGGGGGGCAGCAGUGAGAAAUAUUGGUCAAUGGUCGGGAGACUGAACCAGCCAAGCCGCAUGAGGGAGGAAGGUACAGAGUAUCGUAAACCUCUUUUGUCAGGGAACAAAGGCGGGGACGUGUCCCCGGAUGAGUGUACCUGAAGAAAAAGCAUCGGCUAACUCCGUGCCAGCAGCCGCGGUAAUACGGAGGAUGCGGGCGUUAUCCGGAUUUAUUGGGUUUAAAGGGUGCGCAGGCGGUCUGUUAAGUCAGCGGUCAAAGCCCGGGGCUCAACCCCGGCCCGCCGUUGAAACUUGG
RNAcentral lists this ribosomal RNA (305 nucleotides) under uncultured bacterium. RNAcentral's name for it is "bacterial SSU rRNA". It matches the Rfam family "Bacterial small subunit ribosomal RNA", at positions 334 to 637 of the family's 1533-position model. The record is from RNAcentral.